AUGCAUGCAGGCAUAUUUCAGAGAGCCCAUGUCUUGUUAGGUUUGCUUCUUGUGUUUUCGAUUGGUUUACUUUUUUGCAUAGGGAGGGAGAAGGAAUUAAGAGAUAAAGAGAAGGCCCAACACAUCUAUUUGCAUGUCAAAUCUGAAGUGGAGAGUUGUAUCAAGUAUCUGAAGAGGAGAGGGGAGGAUCCCUAUAGGAGUACACUGUCCAGUCUUCUAUAUCAGGCAGCUCAUGGUUCUGAUGCAGAAAUACCCACAUUUGAACCCUGA
RNAcentral lists this ribosomal RNA (270 nucleotides) under Triticum aestivum (bread wheat). RNAcentral's name for it is "partial small subunit ribosomal RNA". The record is from RNAcentral. Lineage: Eukaryota; Viridiplantae; Streptophyta; Magnoliopsida; Poales; Poaceae.